RNAcentral lists this ribosomal RNA (2892 nucleotides) under Escherichia coli O6:H16. Its description in RNAcentral is "bacterial LSU rRNA". It matches the Rfam family "Bacterial large subunit ribosomal RNA". The record is from RNAcentral. Lineage: Bacteria; Pseudomonadati; Pseudomonadota; Gammaproteobacteria; Enterobacterales; Enterobacteriaceae.
ACUAAGCGUACACGGUGGAUGCCCUGGCAGUCAGAGGCGAUGAAGGACGUGCUAAUCUGCGAUAAGCGUCGGUAAGGUGAUAUGAACCGUUAUAACCGGCGAUUUCCGAAUGGGGAAACCCAGUGUGUUUCGACACACUAUCAUUAACUGAAUCCAUAGGUUAAUGAGGCGAACCGGGGGAACUGAAACAUCUAAGUACCCCGAGGAAAAGAAAUCAACCGAGAUUCCCCCAGUAGCGGCGAGCGAACGGGGAGGAGCCCAGAGCCUGAAUCAGUGUGUGUGUUAGUGGAAGCGUCUGGAAAGGCACGCGAUACAGGGUGACAGCCCCGUACACAAAAAUGCACAUGCUGUGAGCUCGAUGAGUAGGGCGGGACACGUGGUAUCCUGUCUGAAUAUGGGGGGACCAUCCUCCAAGGCUAAAUACUCCUGACUGACCGAUAGUGAACCAGUACCGUGAGGGAAAGGCGAAAAGAACCCCGGCGAGGGGAGUGAAAAAGAACCUGAAACCGUGUACGUACAAGCAGUGGGAGCCUCUUUUAUGGGGUGACUGCGUACCUUUUGUAUAAUGGGUCAGCGACUUAUAUUCUGUAGCAAGGUUAACCGAAUAGGGGAGCCGAAGGGAAACCGAGUCUUAACUGGGCGUUAAGUUGCAGGGUAUAGACCCGAAACCCGGUGAUCUAGCCAUGGGCAGGUUGAAGGUUGGGUAACACUAACUGGAGGACCGAACCGACUAAUGUUGAAAAAUUAGCGGAUGACUUGUGGCUGGGGGUGAAAGGCCAAUCAAACCGGGAGAUAGCUGGUUCUCCCCGAAAGCUAUUUAGGUAGCGCCUCGUGAAUUCAUCUCCGGGGGUAGAGCACUGUUUCGGCAAGGGGGUCAUCCCGACUUACCAACCCGAUGCAAACUGCGAAUACCGGAGAAUGUUAUCACGGGAGACACACGGCGGGUGCUAACGUCCGUCGUGAAGAGGGAAACAACCCAGACCGCCAGCUAAGGUCCCAAAGUCAUGGUUAAGUGGGAAACGAUGUGGGAAGGCCCAGACAGCCAGGAUGUUGGCUUAGAAGCAGCCAUCAUUUAAAGAAAGCGUAAUAGCUCACUGGUCGAGUCGGCCUGCGCGGAAGAUGUAACGGGGCUAAACCAUGCACCGAAGCUGCGGCAGCGACGCUUAUGCGUUGUUGGGUAGGGGAGCGUUCUGUAAGCCUGUGAAGGUGUGCUGUGAGGCAUGCUGGAGGUAUCAGAAGUGCGAAUGCUGACAUAAGUAACGAUAAAGCGGGUGAAAAGCCCGCUCGCCGGAAGACCAAGGGUUCCUGUCCAACGUUAAUCGGGGCAGGGUGAGUCGACCCCUAAGGCGAGGCCGAAAGGCGUAGUCGAUGGGAAACAGGUUAAUAUUCCUGUACUUGGUGUUACUGCGAAGGGGGACGGAGAAGGCUAUGUUGGCCGGGCGACGGUUGUCCCGGUUUAAGCGUGUAGGCUGGUUUUCCAGGCAAAUCCGGAAAAUCAAGGCUGAGGCGUGAUGACGAGGCACUACGGUGCUGAAGCAACAAAUGCCCUGCUUCCAGGAAAAGCCUCUAAGCAUCAGGUAACAUCAAAUCGUACCCCAAACCGACACAGGUGGUCAGGUAGAGAAUACCAAGGCGCUUGAGAGAACUCGGGUGAAGGAACUAGGCAAAAUGGUGCCGUAACUUCGGGAGAAGGCACGCUGAUAUGUAGGUGAAGCGACUUGCUCGUGGAGCUGAAAUCAGUCGAAGAUACCAGCUGGCUGCAACUGUUUAUUAAAAACACAGCACUGUGCAAACACGAAAGUGGACGUAUACGGUGUGACGCCUGCCCGGUGCCGGAAGGUUAAUUGAUGGGGUCAGCGCAAGCGAAGCUCUUGAUCGAAGCCCCGGUAAACGGCGGCCGUAACUAUAACGGUCCUAAGGUAGCGAAAUUCCUUGUCGGGUAAGUUCCGACCUGCACGAAUGGCGUAAUGAUGGCCAGGCUGUCUCCACCCGAGACUCAGUGAAAUUGAACUCGCUGUGAAGAUGCAGUGUACCCGCGGCAAGACGGAAAGACCCCGUGAACCUUUACUAUAGCUUGACACUGAACAUUGAGCCUUGAUGUGUAGGAUAGGUGGGAGGCUUUGAAGUGUGGACGCCAGUCUGCAUGGAGCCGACCUUGAAAUACCACCCUUUAAUGUUUGAUGUUCUAACGUUGACCCGUAAUCCGGGUUGCGGACAGUGUCUGGUGGGUAGUUUGACUGGGGCGGUCUCCUCCUAAAGAGUAACGGAGGAGCACGAAGGUUGGCUAAUCCUGGUCGGACAUCAGGAGGUUAGUGCAAUGGCAUAAGCCAGCUUGACUGCGAGCGUGACGGCGCGAGCAGGUGCGAAAGCAGGUCAUAGUGAUCCGGUGGUUCUGAAUGGAAGGGCCAUCGCUCAACGGAUAAAAGGUACUCCGGGGAUAACAGGCUGAUACCGCCCAAGAGUUCAUAUCGACGGCGGUGUUUGGCACCUCGAUGUCGGCUCAUCACAUCCUGGGGCUGAAGUAGGUCCCAAGGGUAUGGCUGUUCGCCAUUUAAAGUGGUACGCGAGCUGGGUUUAGAACGUCGUGAGACAGUUCGGUCCCUAUCUGCCGUGGGCGCUGGAGAACUGAGGGGGGCUGCUCCUAGUACGAGAGGACCGGAGUGGACGCAUCACUGGUGUUCGGGUUGUCAUGCCAAUGGCACUGCCCGGUAGCUAAAUGCGGAAGAGAUAAGUGCUGAAAGCAUCUAAGCACGAAACUUGCCCCGAGAUGAGUUCUCCCUGACUCCUUGAGAGUCCUGAAGGAACGUUGAAGACGACGACGUUGAUAGGCCGGGUGUGUAAGCGCAGCGAUGCGUUGAGCUAACCGGUACUAAUGAACCGUGAGGCUUAACC